This 489-nucleotide ribosomal RNA is filed under the name uncultured bacterium. RNAcentral describes it as "bacterial SSU rRNA". It matches the Rfam family "Bacterial small subunit ribosomal RNA", at positions 29 to 497 of the family's 1533-position model. The record is from RNAcentral.
AACGAACGCUGGCGGCGUGCCUAACACAUGCAAGUCGAGCGAGAAAGUUCCUUCGGGAACGAGUACAGCGGCGCACGGGUGAGUAACACGUAGGUAACCUACCCUCGAGCCCGGAAUAACCCGCCGAAAGGUGGGCUAAUGCCAGAUAGGACCACGGUGGUCACGGCCACCGCGGUGAAAGAUGGCCUCUGUUCACAAGCUAUUACUCGAGGAUGGGCCUGCGCGCCAUUAGCAGUUGGUGAGGUAACGGCUCACCAAGGCGAUGAUGGCUAGCUGGUCUGAGAGGAUGGCCAGCCACACUGGGACUGAGACACGGCCCAGACUCCUACGGGAGGCAGCAGUGGGAAUUUUCGCAAUGGGCGCAAGCCUGACGAAGCAACGCCGCGUGGGGGAUGAAGGUCUUCGGAUUGUAAACCCCUGUCGACCGGGACGAAAGUACCCGACCUAACACGUCGGAAUAUUGACUGUACCGGUGGAGGAAGCCACGGC